This 92-nucleotide ribosomal RNA is filed under the name Bison bison bison. Lineage: Eukaryota; Metazoa; Chordata; Mammalia; Artiodactyla; Bovidae. The record is from RNAcentral.
CUGAAGGCGCCCGAUCUCGUCUGAUCUCGGAAGCUAAGCAGGGUCGGGCCUGGUUAGUAUCUUGGAUGGUAGACCACCUGGGAAUCCCGGGU